GACGAACGCUGGCGGCGUGCUUAACACAUGCAAGUCGAGCGGUAAGGCCUUUCGGGGUCCACGAGCGGCGAACGGGUGAGUAACACGUGGGUGAUCUGCCCUGCACUUCGGGAUAAGCCUGGGAAACUGGGUCUAAUACCGGAUAUGACCUCCUAUCGCAUGGUGGGUGGUGGAAAGAUUUAUCGGUGCAGGAUGGGCCCGCGGCCUAUCAGCUUGUUGGUGGGGUAAUGGCCUACCAAGGCGACGACGGGUAGCCGACCUGAGAGGGUGACCGGCCACACUGGGACUGAGACACGGCCCAGACUCCUACGGGAGGCAGCAGUGGGGAAUAUGGCACAAGGGGCGAAAGCCUGAGGCAGCGACGCCGCGUGAGGGAUGACGGCCUUCGGGUUGUAAACCUCUUUCAGCAGGGACGAAGCGCAAGUGACGGUACCUGCAGAAGAAGCACCGGCUAACUACGU
Molecule: ribosomal RNA, 461 nt
Filed under: uncultured bacterium
Lineage: Bacteria
Description: partial 16S ribosomal RNA
Rfam family: Bacterial small subunit ribosomal RNA
Source: RNAcentral